UACUUAAAAAAAAAAAAAAAAAACAUUGGCCAGGAUUGUGUGUGUGUGUGUGUGUGUGUGUGUCUCUGUGUGUGUGUGUGUGUGUGUGUGUGUCUCUGUGUGUGUGUGUGUGUGUGUGUGUGUCUCUGUGUGUGUGUCUCUGUGUGUGUGUGUGUGUCUGUCUGUUUUUGACCCCCCCCAAAAAAUUACAAUCACUUCACCAGGAUUGUCUGUCUGUCUGUCUGUCUGUCUGUCUGUCUGUCUGUCUGUCUGUCUCUGUUUUUGACCCCCCCAAAAAAUACAAUCACUUCACCAGGAUUGUCUGUCUGUCUGUCUGUCUGUCUGUCUGUCUGUCUGUCUGUCUGUCUGUCUCUGUUUUUGACCCCCCCAAAAAAUACAAUCACUUCACCAGGAUUGUCUGUCUGUCUGUCUGUCUGUCUGUCUGUCUGUCUGUCUGUCUGUCUGUCUCUGUUUUUGACCCCCCCCCAAAAAAUACAAUCACUUCACCAGGAUUGUCUGUCUGUCUGUCUGUCUGUCUGUCUGUCUGUCUUUGAAUUUUUACCCACAGCCCUCAAACUUGGAAGAGUGGGUUCGGGAACCACCCGCGGGCACCCGGCCUAGAGUGCACAGUGUGUGUCUCGGGCCCCGACCUCUGACUUCCAUACGACUCUGGUUUCUCUUCAUUACGCACAAGCACUUUCGCCUUUUACUAAAGACUUCCGUGGAGAGGAACACUUACGAGUUCAACAUAUUUUUGGAAGGGCUUUGCUUCUGGCAGAGCCCGGUAUCUUGUUUCAAGAGAAAUUGACAGAGAUGACGCCGAGACUUUUGCUCAGGCGUUUGACUUGAAGCCGGCUGACCGACCGACCGACCGACCGACCGACCGACCGGCGUAUUUUUC
This 880-nucleotide long non-coding RNA is filed under the name Salmo trutta (river trout). RNAcentral's name for it is "lncRNA (ENSSTUG00000028813.1)". The stretch from base 644 to 761 matches the Rfam family "U5 spliceosomal RNA". Lineage: Eukaryota; Metazoa; Chordata; Actinopteri; Salmoniformes; Salmonidae. The record is from RNAcentral.